GGGGAUGAUCGGUUUCGACAGCGGCUGUCGAAGCAGGGGAAGCGUGUCGAGGAAGCGGCCAUGAUCUCGUAAACCACAGGCCGAAAAAAAUAAUCGCCAACACCAAGCGCGAUUCCUCCCAGGCUUUCGCCCUCGCUGCCUGAUAAGCAGCUAGAGCGAGCCUCCUGACGGGAGUGUCAGCCCGGGGCUGUUCCCGACCCGGAUCCUGGCAUCAGCUAGGGAACUAAACCUUGAUCCCGGUCACGGGGUGAAGAGGGAAACCAAACAGUGACUGAGCCCGUCGGAGACUUGUCCGCGUGAUCUCCGGGGCUGAGAAAAUCGAAGCGGACUGCACACGGAGAAGCCCUGAUUCCGCACCGUUGGACGCGGGUUCGAUUCCCGCCAUCUCCAC
Molecule: transfer-messenger RNA, 391 nt
Filed under: Streptomyces naganishii JCM 4654
Lineage: Bacteria; Bacillati; Actinomycetota; Actinomycetes; Kitasatosporales; Streptomycetaceae
Rfam family: transfer-messenger RNA
About the family: Bacterial tmRNA, also known as 10Sa RNA or SsrA, is named for its dual tRNA and mRNA-like properties. Its role is to liberate the mRNA from a stalled ribosome.
Source: RNAcentral